Molecule: long non-coding RNA, 528 nt
Organism: Salvia miltiorrhiza (redroot sage)
Lineage: Eukaryota; Viridiplantae; Streptophyta; Magnoliopsida; Lamiales; Lamiaceae
Exons: 4
Source: RefSeq, a predicted model, not a curated record
CUCCACCUUUCCUCCCACUUUCAGCUACUCCCACCCAUCUAAAGUAGAGAUCAAUCACCACUUCAUUUCUCUCCACUUCCUUUCUCUCCUCAAGUCACGCUGCUUUCAAUCAAGAUUCAAGAAUUGGCAUACCUUCAUCACCUUCCUCAAGGCUUUAUGAACCAAGGGGAUUAGCGCUGCUUUCCCAAGACGAGUUUAUGUGAUUAUGAUCUUCAGGCUUUGCCUAUCCAGGUUGAGCAACUGAUGGAAUGGAAUGAUGUUGAGCGGGUGUUCCUUUGACAUUUCAAGAAAUGUAACCUUGAGUAUACAUCUUCAUAUGUAUAUCUCACACGUUUUCGCUGCAAAACACUUUGAUUAGGAUAACUCUAUGUUAUGAAGUUGUGACACGUGUUAUUGGGUAACCCACCUUAAUCAGUUCUCCUUUAUGUGUAUGUGUUAUAAGUAUCCAAAUGAUCAUAUAUGAUCCUAGCUUUUUAUUUAUGAGUGACAUUUCCAUAUACUUUAAUGUUAAGUAAUUGUCCAUUUCCA